RNAcentral lists this ribosomal RNA (398 nucleotides) under uncultured bacterium. RNAcentral describes it as "bacterial SSU rRNA". It matches the Rfam family "Bacterial small subunit ribosomal RNA", at positions 362 to 776 of the family's 1533-position model. The record is from RNAcentral.
UAUUGGGCAAUGGGCGCAAGCCUGACCCAGCAACGCCGCGUGAAGGAUGAAGGUUUUCGGAUUGUAAACUUCUGUCGCGAGGGACGAAGAAUGACGGUACCUCGUAAGAAAGCCCCGGCUAACUACGUGCCAGCAGCCGCGGUAACACGUAGGGGGCAAGCGUUGUCCGGAAUGACUGGGCGUAAAGGGAGCGUAGGCGGCUUAUCAAGUUAGAUGUGAAAUCCCGCGGCUUAACCGCGGAACUGCAUCUAAAACUGGUGAGCUGGAGUGCAGGAGAGGUGAGUGGAAUUCCUAGUGUAGCGGCGGAAUGCGUAGAUAUUAGGAGGAACACCAGAGGCGAAGGCGACUCACUGGACUGUAACUGACGCUGAGGCUCGAAAGCGUGGGGAGCAAACAGG